CCCCUUCCCCAAACCCACCCAAACUUGCAGGGCGCGCGCUGCGCUUCACAUUUGCUCUCGCGCACGGGUUGAUAGUGUGAUGAGAAGUUCGUCUCAUCCUUCUUAACAUCAGGAGGAGGAAAUACAUUCUUAUUGAACCACGAUGCCAAACGCACGUGCAGCAAACACGGCGUGGAAUGAUUUGGUGGAUUUGAUGUUUGGAUCUGUUAGAUAUCCAGAUGAUGGCCGAUCUCUACGAGUACGAGCAGCAUAGGUAUGUGGAGGUCUGACUCGGCCGCUGGAGAAAGUGAUGGCAGUGUUUCCUCGUGAGGAUUCUGAUGUAACUGGAGGUGGCAGAUGAAUGAAGAAACAAGCUCAAGGAAUCAUGGGAAAGAUCUUUUAAGAUAUUAUUCUGUAAUUAUGAAAACAUUUAAUGCUAUAAUAUAAUAUAAUAUAAUAUAAUAUAAUAUAAUAUAAUGUAAUGUAAUAUAAUGUAAUGUAAUGUAAUGUAAUGAUAUCUGGUAUUUUAUUCAUGUAAACUAUUUCCAUGUUUUGUUUUUCUUUUUAAAUAAACACAUAUGU
Triplophysa dalaica is the source of this 561-nucleotide long non-coding RNA. RefSeq lists it as uncharacterized. The transcript is spliced from 3 exons. Lineage: Eukaryota; Metazoa; Chordata; Actinopteri; Cypriniformes; Nemacheilidae. The record is from RefSeq and is a predicted model, not a curated record.